GACCCCGCACAAGCGGUGGAUCAUGUUGUUUAAUUCGACGAUACGCGAAGAACCUUACCAGGUCUUGACAUCCCCUGCAAAGCUAUGGAGACAUAGUGGAGGUUAUCAGGGAGACAGGUGGUGCAUGGUUGUCGUCAGCUCGUGUCGUGAGAUGUUGGGUUAAGUCCCGCAACGAGCGCAACCCUUAUUGCUAGUUACCAUCAUUAAGUUGGGGACUCUAGCGAGACUGCCAGUGAUAAACUGGAGGAAGGUGGGGAUGACGUCAAAUCAUCAUGCCCCUUAUGACCUGGGCUACAAACGUGAUACAAUGGCUGAAACAAAGGGCAGCGAAGGAGCGAUCUGGAGCGAAACCCAAAAAAGCAGUCUCAGUUCGGAUUGAAGUCUGCAACUCGACUUCAUGAAGUCGGAAUCGCUAGUAAUCGCGGAUCAGAACGCCGCGGUGAAUACGUUCUCGGGGUUU
Molecule: ribosomal RNA, 460 nt
Filed under: uncultured bacterium
Lineage: Bacteria
Description: bacterial SSU rRNA
Rfam family: Bacterial small subunit ribosomal RNA
Source: RNAcentral